AAAGGAGCCUAAGCCGAUAAGGACACACAGGGCUUGCUGAGCCUUUGUCUCCCCAAGUCAGCACCCGAAGAACAAAACAAAGGUAACUGACUUUAGAAAUAAAGAGAACAUGAGCCAACUGGUAGCAGAGAAGAAUCAUGAAGAUACACUUGGAAGAGGUGAGGGAGAAAGCAGACACCGAGUCACUCGAUGCCAGAGCCCAGACCCAAACGGUUCUGCACACUGACUGGCAGCAUAGCCUUCACAGCCUCCACGCCUCUGAGAAAUCAAAAGCAAAUCAAAGCUUGCCCCCAU
Molecule: long non-coding RNA, 294 nt
Organism: Octodon degus (degu)
Lineage: Eukaryota; Metazoa; Chordata; Mammalia; Rodentia; Octodontidae
Exons: 3
Source: RefSeq, a predicted model, not a curated record